ACAAAGCCCAUCAGAUUCUCGGAUCUUCUACUGAGUGUUAUCCACCGAGCCAAAUGGCUUUCUGCUCUUCUGCUCCGUCCUUCUGCUGCAGCUUGAUCGGUGCCUAUCCCCGGACUGCCCCCUCCAAGUCUUCACCGCGACGAUGCAUCCUACUGCCAAUCCGGUGUACUGCGCGGACUCCUCCUCCUCGGCGAUCGGCUGAUUACCAACCGAGCUCGUGGAGUGACAAAUACAUACAAUCGCUAACAACUGACACCAAGGACGGCGUGCAUGCAAUAUGUAAGCUUGAGUUUUAUCUAUAGUUCGCAUUGGUUACUGACUAGCUUUCAUCAGGUGGAGGAGAAUAACGCAAGAAGGAUGGACAAACUGACAGAGGACGUGAAACAGCUGAUCUACACGAAGAAGGGAAUUGAGGAUCAGCUUCAACUGAUCGAUCACCUGCGGCAGCUUGGGGUGGCGUAUCACUUUAAGGAGGAUGCUAAGGAUGCUUUAUGGACUAUAUACGGUUCCAUGGAAGAGAUGAGCAUGUUGCUGAAGGAUAAUCUUCAUGCCACGGGUCUUAUGUUCAGGCUUCUCAGAGAACAUGGGUUUGCUGUUUCUGAAGGUGAUUAAGCUAUAUAUCCAUCCUGCUUUACUCCUUUCUUGGCAACUGAUCCAACAUUGUCGUCGAUGUACUUCUAUAAAUUGCUAGAACAAUUACUUUCAUGAAACUGAGACAAUUAGAAAUAUGUCCAAUUAGUCAUACAAUUAUGCCACGUUAAUAGCCUAACAUACAAUUGGAAUUUUGUGUUUAUUCUGUUCUAUCAUGGUGUCACAAUCUAACAUGCACAAAUUAUGUGGAUGGACUGAAGGGCAUUCAACCGAUUUAUGGAUAAGAAGGGAAACUUGAAAGCCAGCCUUCGCCACCAGACUGAAGGAUUGGUGAGCUUGUCCGAGGCUUCCCAUCUUGCAAUGGAAGGAGAGCACGUGCUGGAAGAAGCUACAAACUUCACAACUAAACAGCUCAAGAGCCUGAUGGUGGGAUCACUUGAGCCUCAUCUCAGGGAGCACGUAGCCCAUGCCUUGAAGCUUCCAUUGAACUGGAGGAUGCCGAGGUUACAGACCAGGUGGUUCAUACCAAAGGGAAGCGAACACAAACCCUGUCCUGCUUGAAUUGGCUAAGUUGGACUUCAACAGGGUUCAGAGCAUACAUCAGAGGGAACUCAGAGAAGUGUCGAGGUAUUUUGAGCUUGCUUUACUUGAAUCAUGUCAUGUACAUUCUGCCCUCGUGCAUGAAUUAGCAAACUUCAGCACAAACUUCUGGCUGUCGAUCAGAUCGUGGAGCAAUCUUGGCCUGGCGCAGAGGUUUCCAUUUUCGACGAACAGGUUGAUGGAGAACUAUUUCUGGACGGUUGGCUGGGCUUUUUAGCUACAGUUUGCGAGAUGCAGGGAGGCGCAGACAAAGGCAAACUGCCUGAUAACAACAAUAGAUGAUGUGUAUGAUGUUUACGGCACCAUGGAUGAGCUCGAGCUUUUCACGGAUGCCGUCGAUAGGUGAUGAAGAACUCCACCUCAUGAAUGCAAUAGAUGUAAUUUCAACGAUUGUUGAUUCCUGAUAACAUCUACUCGGAUGGAUGUUGCAGAUGGGACGUUAAUGCAACGGACAAACUUCCAGAGUACAUGAAGAUAUGUUUUCUAGCCCUCCUCAACACUACAAAUGACACCGCAUUCAAUGUUAUGAAAGAGAAGGGACUAGAUAUAAAUCCACACCUAAAAAAAGCAGUAACAUAUCGAUCCCAUCCUCCCUCUUUUGUGUAUCAUCAAUCAUUCAGUUCCACUUUCUAAACAGUGCAACCCUUGGAUUCAGUGGGCAGAUGUAUGCAAGGCACACAUGGUGGAAGCAAGGUGGUACCACCAGGGCUACACACCCAAUCUUGAAGAGUACUUGGAGAACGCACUAGUAUCGGUAUCGGGUCCCCUGAUAUUGACUCUUGCUUAUUGCACCAGUGACGAUGUAAGUCAAGAGACCUUGGAAGACUUCCACAGCCGUCCUGAGAUUGCAAGACGGUCAUCCAAGGUAUUUGAAAUGCACCAUAAUUAUCAUUCGUUCAGGGAAUCAUGGCGAUAAAGAGUUCACACAUUUUCUCCUCUUUGCAUCGGUUGUUUUUGUGCAGGACGAGCUUGAAAGAGCUGAUGUGCCCAAAUCUGUCCAGUGCUACAUGCAUGAGAGAGGUUUAUCGGAGUACGCGGCUCGUGACCAUAUUUGGCGAUUGAUUAGGGGGAAUUGGAGAGCAAUAAAUGGAGAUCUAAGUUUCACUUCUCAUUUUGAAGAAAACCUAAAAAUGAUGAUUAUUAAUGUCUCUUGAAUGGCCCAAUGCAUGUACCAAUUCGGAGAUGGACAUGGAAAACCCGAUCAAGUGAUUGAGGAUCGCAUCAGGUCUUUGUUGAUUGAACCUAUACUUUUGUGACGAUAGAAUUAAGAAUAAUAUCAUGAAGCUAUUAGUCUCCUCAUAAUUUAUCCAAGCUUUUGAUUAAAUUUCUUUAGGUGUGAUCGCUCUUUUUAUUCUGUAAAAGAUAUUGAUGGUGUAAUUCUAGUUUGUUGGUUGUGAUAAUUGAUCUGUAUCACCGCUUUGGAACUAAAAAAACUUUCUUUAUGAAACAUUAAAGACAAAAAAAACCUAAAGUAUGAUUUAUUUUAUGCUAUUAAUUGAGAUUGGAUUUUUAAUUUCUCUCAAACUUUAUUGUUGACGGCCAUCUGAAAGGCUGACUUAAUGGAUCAGCCGACUAUAAUCACAUGGCAUGAUCUAAUUAAGAAUAAAAUAAUAUAUUAUUGGGUAAAUUCUUUGAAAAAGCUUUGAAGUUACAGAAUUUCUCAUAGAACGGCUCUAACUGCGGCCCUCGAUAUUUUGAAAAAUUCCUGCCAUAACCUAGCCUCCCCUCCGCCUGUGCCAAGCCUGGCCACACCUCUGCCUCACCGGCGGCCCCACUCCGCCUUGUGCAUGGUCGCCCCAACUGCAACCCGAUCCUCAUCGUCGUCGUCAGUCAUUAGGGCGAGUUGCCCCUACUUCCUUGCCCGUGGCUAAUGCUGAUGAGGGGGCACGAGGAGAGCGCGUCGGUCAGGAAGGGGCACGAGGAGGGGGUGUGAGACCACAUCGGCGAGGAGGCUACAUGGCCCCUGUUGGACCCCUCACCCUCAAUGUUGUCGUUGGCCAUGGAGGUGCCGCACAGUGCCGCCUACUCCCAUGCUCGCGCGAAGGCGGCGAGACCCAUUGCUCGUUGCGAAGGUGACACGCAGCGUCACCUGCACCUCUGCUCACGCGAGGGCGACGAGGACCACUAAGUAGUUGGUCCUUCGGGGUGAGACGGGGGCCCACACUCCUCCGUCAGUGCAUCAGAAGCCUUAUGGACUUUGCCGUCGGUGUGUCAGCAUGCUACAUCAUGCUACUUCGUUCAAUAAACGCGUUGGUGGUCACUCCAUCACGCUCCUUCGUCCAAGCUCGGUGCCAUAUGACUACUGCAAUAUGUCCCACACAGGCUCUGCGUAUUAUUAUGGGUGGAAACGGUUGAAAAAAUUUAUUAUAACAAAAUAAUUUUUUUUUUCUAUAUAUUAAAUUAAGUUUCUCAUCAAAAUAUCAAUUUAUUAUCAAAAGUAAAUAUUAACUAGAGCAAGGUUUCUCAUUAAAAUAUCGAACUUGUUAUCAAAAAUAAAUAUUAACUAGAGCAGUAUAAAUAGUAGAACAAUAAAUCAGUCACAAAGUGAGACAUUAAAAUUUUUACAUGGAAAACCCACUGUGAAAAAAAUUAAGGGAUCGUAGUCCAAUACAAACUUUCAAUAUCGUCAAAAAUGAUAACAGGUUUACAAUAAGUCUUCUUCAGAAUAACCAGAGUAUCAAAAUAAUAUAGAUAUUAACUUAGAAUUAAUAUAUCAUCAUCACAAAAGAUAGAUUUUAUGAAAAGAAAAUUUUAGAUCUCAUGAAAUGGGUAUAGCAGGAAAGCACCUUAGAGAAUAUAAACUACAUAUCAGUACUAUUAAGAUUGUAAAACUUUUUGCAAGGAUUCUUCGUAUAAAAUUUGAGCCAAAACUAAUGAAGUUAAGCCACUUGAUCAUUUAACAAAAGCCCUAAAAAUCUUAACUUUUUCUCUUCUUUUCUCUCUCUAUUUUAUUUUCUCACGCCUUCACUGUUCGUCGACAAUUUUUCUUUUUUUUUUUAAUAAAUGAGAUUUGGAUUCAAUGCUCAAAUCAUCUGGUCCAAACCCAUAUAUGGGCUGGACCCAAUAAUUCUCUCCCUCCAGCUCAUAUGAUGGGCUGUACGAAGUUUGCUCUUUACCUAUAUGCUUCAAGCUUCUUCUUAGGUAAAGAUUUUAUCAAUAUAUUUGAUCCAUUCUCAUUGGUACGUACCUUUUUUAAGUAUAAUUCUUUUAUUUCAAGUAUAUCACGAAUCCAGUGAUAUCUAACAUCAAUAUGCUUGGAUCUAAAAUGAUAGGUUGAAUUCUUGGAGAUAUGAAUGACACUCUGACUAUCACAGUAAAUAGUAUAUCCUUUUUGUUUCAAGCCCAAUUUCUAUAGAAAUGUUUUCAUCCAUAAAGCUUCUUUGCAAGCUUCAAUAAUUGCUAUACAUUCUGCUUCUGUGGUUGAUAGAGCAAUACAAUUCUGUAACUUAGAUUGUCAAGAGAUUGCUCCUUAUGCAAAUGUCAUCAAGAAUCUCAAAGUGGACUUCUUGGAAUUAGUAUGACUUGCCAUAUCUGUAUCUAUGUACCCCUCUAGUAUAGGUUCAUCACUGCCAAAAUAUAAAUAUAACUUGAAAGUGCCUCUUAGAUAUCUUAAUAUCUAUUUCACUACUGCCCAAUGUUCCUUACCAGGAUUAGAAAGAAAUCGACUAAUAACUCCAACUGCAUGAGCUAUAUCUAGUCUAGUAUAAACCAUAGCAUAUAUCAAAUUGCCUAUUGCAAACGAGUAAGACACUAUGAAUAUUUUUUUUUUUUUCUCACUUGUAGGAUAUUAUUUCGAACUAAGUUUGAAAUAACAUGCAAGUGGAGAACAAAUUGCUUUGGCUUUACUUAUGUUGAAUAUUUCAAGAACCCUUUCAUACUAAGUAUUUUUUUCACCGAUCCUAAGUCUUUCAUGGUAAAAGAUUUACUUAGCACUCUUUUAAGCUUUUUAAUUUUACUAGCAUCAUAGCCAACAAUCAGCAUAUCAUCAACAUAUAGUUGGAAAAUAAUAAAAUCAUCAUCUAAAAAUUUCUUUGUAAACACAAAAUGAUCAGAUGUGGUUCUAUUGUACCCUUAGCUCAUCAUAAAGGAAUUAAACUUCUUGUUCUAAUAUCUAGGUGAUUGUUUGAGUCCAUAUAAGUUUUUUCCUAAGUUUGCACACCAUAUUUUUUUUUCCCUUAACUUUGAAACAUUCUGGUUAUUCCAUGUAAAUUUUUUCUUUUAAGUCACCAUAAAGAAAUGUUAUUUUCACAUCAAGUUGCUCAACUUCUAAAUUUAAGCGAGCAACCAAACCAAGAAGAACUCGGAUAUAUGACAUUUUCACAAUAGGAGAAAUAUUUUUUCAAAGUCAAUACCUUUCUUCUGACUAAAGACUUUCAUAACUAGUUGUGCCUUGUAUCUUUAUCGUGAGCUAUUAUUUUCAGCCUUCAAUUUGUAAACUCAUUUAUUCUUGAGAGCUUUCUUCUCUUGAGGUAACUUUACCAAGUCAUAGAUGUGGUUCUUAAGCAAGAAUCUCAUUUCUUCUUACAUGGCUUUAACCCACUUAUUUUUAUGCUCAUGUAGAAUAGCUUCUUAGUAAGUUUUUGGCUCUCUUCAUCAGUAAACAUAAAAUACUCAUGGAUAUUUGGUAUAUGAUUAUCGCUCUCUUAUGGAUCUUCUUAAUGGAAUCUCAGCUGGUGGUGAAGGUGCUUGUUCAGUUAGUUUAACAUCAUCAAAUAUAGGAGCAUCAUUACUUACAUUCUUACUACAAUCUUCUUCUUCAUCUCCCCCAUGAUCAGCAUGAACUACAGAUGAAGGAACUAGACCAAACUCCAAGGAAUAUAAAUAGAGGUUUUUGGCUUCUCACCAUUAUCACCGUCGUCAAACAAUUGAUAUUCAAGAAACAUAAUAUCUUUGCUUCUAAUAAUCUUCUUAUUCACUAGAUCCCAUAAUCUAUAUACAAACUCUUCAUGACCAUACCUUAAAAUGAUACAUAUUUUUGCCUUAUUAUCAAGCUUAAACCUCUUAUCUUUGGGAAUAUGAACAAAUGCUUUACACCCAAAGACUUUCAAGUGAUUAUAAGAUAUUUUUUUUUUCCUUUCCAUACUCUCUUUGGAACAUCAUAUUCCGGAGGAAUUGAUGGAGAAAAAAUUAUCAAGUCAAUUGUAGUUCUCAUAGCCUCCCCUCAAAAUGACUUAGGUAACUUGGCAUGAGAAAGCAAAUGCAUAAUUCUUUUUUUAAUAGUUUUGUUAAUCAUUUAUACCACACCGUUCUGUUGAGGAGUUUUAGGAAUUGUUUUCACAAGCCUGAUACCAUGGAACCUGCAAUAAUUCUCAAAAGGACCCCUAUACUCGCCACCAUUAUCUGCUCGAAUAUACUUUAGCUUUCUGUCAGUUUCUCUUUCAACACUGACAUGAAACUCUUUGAAAACAUCGAGUACCUGAUCUUUAGAUUUCAAAGCAAAAGCCCAAACUUUUCUAGAAUGGUCAUCAAUGAAAGUAACAAAAUAAAGAGCACAUCCAAGAGUUCUAGUUUACAUAGUAUAAAUAUCAGUAUGAAUCAAAUUAAUAACAUAUGAUCUUCUAGAUGAUGGAUAUGUAUGAAAGGUAACUCUAUGUGUUUUUCCAACUAAGCAAUGAUUAUAAGAUUUAAGAGAUGUAUCUUGUAACUCUGAUAAGAACUGCUUUUUAACAAGAGUUUAAAGUCCUUUCUCAUUGAUAUAACUAACCCUCAUGUGUCAAAGAUCUAUACUUUUACCCUUCUGAAUUGUAUUAAUCUCUCCUUUAUGUAACUUAGCUUCUAUGACAUAAAAAGAGUUUAGUUUUUUUUCCUCUCACCACAAUUAGAGAACCUUUAGUGAGUUUCCAUUUGAUUUCACCAAAAUAGUGUAUAAAUCCCUCAUCAUCAAGUCUGCCUAUAUAUAUCAAGUUAAAACGAAUAUCUGAAACAUGUUUGACAUCUUUGAGUAUCAAUUUGCUCCAAAUACUAGUCUCCAAGUAAAUAUCUCCAAUAUCCAUAAUCUUAAAUGUACCAUUGUUUCUUAUUCUGACAUUACCAAAAUCACAAGCAGUGUAAGAUAUAUAGAAAUCACCAUAAGAAGUAACAUAAAAUGAAGCACUAGAGUCAAUUACCUAGUUAUUGUCCUGUAACUGUUCUCGCUUUCAAAAUUACUUUUCUUUAUGUGACCUAGCCUAUUACAAUGGAAACAUUUGAUAUCUCUUCUAGAUUUGGAUCUUCCUUUAUAACCAUAUGAAUUUCUACUAUAACUUCCACAUCUUUCUUGUUUUUCAGUAACAAAUGCACUAGAAGAAUAUUCUCCCCGUUCUUUCCUUCUAACAUCUUCACUUAACAAACUGUCUUUAACUAUAUCUAUAGUUAGAGUCCCCUCUUGCGUGGAGUUACAAAUUGUCAAUACAUGCAUUUUCCAACUUUCUAGUAAAUAUAUGAGAAGUAAUAAACUUGUUUGUUAAACUUUGAAGUAGACUUGUAAUCAACAAUGUUACCACAAUCUUUAUAAUUCAAAUUUACAAGCAUUGUGAGGAGAGAAAUUCGUCCACUCUUUUUUUUGUAAAUUGGUUUUCUAACCUUUGCCAAAUAAUAUCAGCUCUGGUUUCAUCAAAAAUAUGCUCAUGCAAAUUUAUAUCAAUCCAUCUUCUAAUAUAGGCAAUAGCUUUUCUAUGUUGAACUUUUCAUUCCUCAUCUUCCAUAGUAGAAUGUUUAUAUUUAACAUCGAUAGACUUAUACAAAUCUUUGCAAUAGAGCAAAUCAUCUAUCAUACGCCUCCAAGUGGAAUAAUUUGAAGAGUUCAAUUUAAUCAUACCGUUUGACUCUUCCAUUUCAAUCACACAAUAUAAAAAAUUAGCAUCAAACAACUUAUUACUCUGAUACCACUUGUUGGGAAAAAUUAAUAUAGCGGAAUAAUUUUUUUUCUCUCUUUAUAUAUUAAAAUAGGUUUUUUUUAAUCAAAAUACUAACUUAUUAUCAAAAGCAAAUAUUAACUAGAGUAGCAUAAAUAGUAGAACGAUAAAUGAGUUACAAAGUAAGACAUUAAAAUUUUUAUAAGGAAAACUCAAUGCAAAAAAAAUCACGGGGACCGUAGUCCACUUCAAAUUUCCACUAUCAUAAAAAAAAGAUAACAUGUUUACAGUAAGUCUUUUCUAGAAUAACCAACCAGAGGAUCACAAUAACAUUAAGAUUUAUAUAAAUCUUAGCUCAACAUUACCAUAUCAUCAUCAUCGAUAGAUUUCAUUAAAAAAAAAAAGAUCUUGGUAUAAUAGGAAAGCACUUAGAGAGGAUAAACUAUGGAUCGGUACCAUUAAAAUUAUAGAGUUUUUUAUAAAGAUUCUUCACAUAAAAUUUGAAUCAAAACCAACAAAGUUUAGCUGCUUGAUCAUCUAGUAAAAGUCCUAAAAAUCUGAACUUUUUUUUCUUUUUGUUUUUUUCUCACGUCGCGACUGUUCGUGUACGCACCUAUUCGCUGCCCUAACUGUACACGUCUCCACUGUACACGUCUCCCACGUAUGGGUUGGACCCAACAGAAACAAAUCUGCAAAGACGCUGCUAAACGCGCUCAGAGUGGACGAACUACUGGAUCACGUAUCAUUAAGAUUAUGUGAUGACUGCAAAAUCUAGUCAUCUAUAGCACAAGAUCAUGAUGAGGAGGCGUAACUCUCUCUCUCUUUCUCUCUCUCCAACUAUUUCUUAUAUCUCCGUGCGUGUAGUUGUAGCAUCAUGACAUCUUUUUCGUGGAAAGAUAAGAACGAGGGCAAGGUGUCGCCCUGACCCAUCACCAACCUGUAAGUGUGCUAUCGACGCAUGACCUACCUACACAUUUAUUUAGAGAACCAGAUGACGCUGACGGUACUGCUAGCCAGGAAGCCCCCAUCAGCUCACUUAAUUCAUAGUGUUUUUGAGGUAGAAGACAAGUUGGCCAACAGUUGGAUCCGAAUUGCGUUUGAUGCAACAACCAUGUUGCAGUGGACCAUGAUGCUUGAUGGUGGAGGUUGGUCUGAACUCGACGUUGUAACCCAGUCUCAGUCUUUGCUGCCAAUGGGAUAUAUGUAUUAUGUUCACAUGACAUGACACUGAUUAUACCUUCGGGUUUAAUGCUCCUUAUCACGGGAUUAGGUUUAAUGUCACCCGGCAUCACUCACGUAGAGAUCAAUGGACCACGCCCCUUGAUUCUUAGGACAAAGGUCCAUCGAGUGAACCUCCUGGUUUAGGUCAGCAAAGAGUUCACACAGUUUCUCCUCUCUGCAUCAGUUGUUUUUGUACAGGACGAGCUUGAAAGAGGCGAUGUGCCCAAAUCUAUCCAGGGCUGCAUGCAUGAGAGCAGUUUAUCGGAGUAUUCGGCUCGUGAGCAUAUCGUGUAAACGGAGAUCGAAGUUUCACUUCUCGUUUUGAAGUGAAACGGAGAUCGAAGUUUCACUUCUCGUUUUGAGGAAAACCUGAAAAAUGAUGUUCAUCAAUAUACCUCGAAUGGCCCAAUGCAUGUACCAAUACAGAGAUGGAUAUGGGAAACCCGAUCGAGUGAUUGAGGAUCGCAUCAGGUCUUUGUUGAUUGAACCUACACUUCUGUAACAAUGUAAUUAAGGAUAAUAUCGUGAGUCUUUGAUUAAGUUUCGUGUGAUCACCCUUUUUAUUCUGUAAAAGGUAUUGAUGGUGUAAUUCUAGUUUGUUGGUUGUGAUAAUUGAUCUGUAUCAUCGCUUUAAAAGUAGAAAAACUUUCUUUAUGAAAUAUUAAAGGAAAAAAAGCCCAUAGUAUAUUUUAUUUUAUGCUACUCAUUGAGAUUGAAUUUUUAAUUUUUCUCAAUUUUAUUGUUGACGGGCAUCUUAAAAAAGCUGAUUUAAUGGAUCAACCGUGUACAAUCACAUGGCAUAGCCUAAUUAAAAGUAUGUAAGUUUCAUAAUUUGGUAUGUAAGUUUCAUAAUUUGGUGAAUUCUCGUCAUUUUAAAAAUUUCUGUCAUAGCCCUAGCCCUUGACUCUCAUUGUCAUUGGUGGAGGUGACAAGUGUCACUCUAUCGUUGGUCCAACGAGAUGUGGCAGCCACUACACCUCCGUCGUUGGGUGGGUCCAACAGAGGGGGAUGACGAUGCAAUUAGAGGCUGGACAGAGGACGAUGAUUGAUUUAGAUAGCAUAGUCAUUUAAAAAAAAGGGUACUCUAGGGGAAAAUUUUAAACUUGGGGUGUUAUUUUGAAAAUUCUAAAACUUAUGAUUUUUUUUCAAAAAUUCACCCUAUAUUAUUUUAAAAACUAUGGCUAUCUAACAUAUGCUAAUUUAGAAACAAUAAAUAAACACAGAAUAUAAACAUUUAUGGUUUUGUUGAGCAUAAACUUAUGUAUUUUAAUGACAUAUUUAAAAUAUGAUUGUUUGAUCUCUGCAUAUAACAAUAAUCAUAACAUAUGUUACAUUCUUAAAUAAUUAUAAAGUAGUAUCCCCUGCGGCUAAUCUAUCUCUAUAAAAUAAUUAUCUAGAUCACCCCUCUCAUGAUUUACUCGAUAUCUCCCUCAAGAAGUAGAAAGACCGAGAGAAUCAAUCGCUCAAUCAAUCAAACUCUCGCUCAAUCAGCCAAACUCUCUCCUAAUAUGCAAGUCUAGCUCUUUGAGAUAGACUAGAGGCUAGAGGAUAUAAAAAAGGAGAUAAGGCAGGAAAAGGAAGUUGAUUCUUACUUUAGAUCUCCCUUCAUUAGCAUUAUAGAGGAACCAAUCUCAAUAUGUUUUAGAAUGCCAACCCUUAACUUUACAAGGGAAUCUCUGAUCCUAUGGAGCCUAUAGAUGCUUUUACCUCUCACACCAAGUUGUGCUUCGAAUACAUUAGCUUGAUUCCAAUUGUGGGUUAGAGCCCAGGCCACCUGGUGAAUCUUCGAAGGUAACUCGUCCCUUCUUUGACUUCAAGUGACUAUCUUGAUCCAUUGGAUCGAUAGGGACCUAUUAGCCAUCUACUUCUUAGUAUUGGGGGGUUUCGAAAGCCUUCACAAAGAAGAAGACAUUUGUUAGAAGAUCUAUUUAUGCAUAGGAGACAUAUUAGUACACACUCAACAAGAGAAGCGAGAGGGACAAUUUCAGAUAUUGACCCCGAUGGGAGGGGCUGAUUCUAGCCUUUAUAAGCUAGGCCUCACUCAACCCCUUCACCGAAGGAGGAAGUUUUGGAAAUCAAUGCCGAAGGUGAUGAUGAGAUCGAAGAAUCAUAUGAGCUAUAGUUAGAUGAAGGGCUAAUCCAUAUGAGGAAAACAUUCAAAGUUGUUUAGGCUUGAAAGUUCGAAUGAUUCAAGUACUUUAAAAUACUAAAGGUUUGAGUGUUCGAAGGCCUAAAGGUUCCGAGAAUGACAGAAGGCAUAAAGAGUACGAAUGAGUUUGGGGGUUAUUUAUAGUACUUGGGUGACCUUUUGCCUAAUUGUCUUGUUGUCGGAUGCUUAGGCUAACAUGUUAUGUGGCGACACACCAAUGGCUAAGGCCAACCUCCUUAAUCAUUACAAUCUUUCUAAUCUUCCACCAAUAUGUGAAAGCCUUUGCGAGCACCAUAUCACCCCUAUAUUAGAUGUAAUAGUAUAGAAUCAUCCACAAUACUAAUAUUUAAAUAAUUUAUUUUGUUAUAUCCAAUUGUAGAAGCAACAUCAUCUUAGUCAUUUUCACGAGUGAUUAAAGCCUUGUUAAUAUGUUAUUUCAAUAUUAUAUCUUUUUUCAAGUAGCUGAACUAAGUUUAAAAUAUUAUUUUUUAUAUCAAGAACAUAAUAAACAUCUAAAUGCAUACUUACUUUUCAUUACUAAGCUCAAGAAAAAUAUACCUUUGUCUCUUACCAAUUUUUGUGAUCAAUUAUCAAAUAUACCAUGUUGUCCAUUUGACAUGAGAUUAAAUCGAGAUAAAAUGCUAGUAACUCAAGUUUCGUUCACAUCCAAGCUUACCUUCCCAUAAGUUUCAUAGCGCAUAAGCGCACACUAUUAUCAUAAUUAUUAAUUUGAAAAAAUAAAGUACAAUAGCAUAGGCUUCACAUACUGGUGAUCAUACAAGUGGCCUCUCUUUAUCAUUUUAUGAAUGCCAGAUUAAUAAUAGAUUGUAGUACAAUAGUGUAAGCUUCACAUGUUGGUGAUCAUACAGGUGGACUUUAUUUAUAUUUUAUCCUUCAAUAUUGUCAGAUGUGAUCCUUCACCUAAUAAUUAUUGUAACAUUUUCUGAUGUCAUGUAUAGUGUGAUAUUGGUUAUAGGAUGGAGAGAUCCACUCAUCUGUGUCACUAGUUUUUCAGUUUUUUCUAGAUGGACUUGAAUAGUUAACUUACAGCACACACCGAUAAGUUACUUGAGUAGUUAACGUACAGCAAAUCGGAACGCUAAAGGAUCGAGGCCAUGGGAUUGUCCUAAUGGUGUCGAAUUUAAUCAAAUCAACUCCUUGAAUUAACUACUUUUUAAAGUGGCUUCUUCCACUAUGAUGCCAGAGAUAUUUUUGGACACUUGGAAUUACAUUUGGUUGGAACACGAUUUUGUGGAGCUUUUGUGGAUAUACAUGAGGCUGGCUGUACCUACGUGGCCGAUUAGCAUUCUGCUUGUGAAUCUCGUUUUAGGGAGGUCGAGAGGCACGAGAGCCUCGUUACUGAACCCAUCCUGCUUUCACCGCCUCUGGCACUAUAAAUCCCACGCCAACACCGCCACUACAAAGCCCAUCAGAUUCGCCGAUCUUCUACUGAGUGUUGUUCACCGAGCCAAAUGGCUUUCUGCGCUUCUGCUCCUUCUUUCUGCUGUAGAUUGAUCGGUGCCCAUCGGCGGACUGCCCCCUCCAAGCCUUCACCCCGUCGAUGCCUCCUACUACCAACCCGGUGUACUGCACAGAUUCCUUCUCCUCGGCGAUCGGCUAAUUACCAGCCAAGCUCGUGGAGUGACGAAUAUAUACAAUCGCUCAGAACUGACACCAAGGUCGGCGUGCAUGCAAUAUGUAAGCUCGAGUUUUAUCUAUAGUUCGCAUUGGUUACUAACUAGCUUUCAUCAGGUGGAGGAGGAUAACCCAACAAGGAUGGACAAACUGACAGAGGACGUGAAACAGUUGAUUUACAUGAAGAAGGGAAUUGAGGACCAACUUCAACUGAUCGAUCACCUGCGGCAGCUUGGGGUGGCGUAUCACUUUAAGGAGGAUAUUAAGGAUGCUUUAUGGACUAUAUACGGUUCCAUGGA
Molecule: long non-coding RNA, 13328 nt
Filed under: Musa acuminata (dwarf banana)
Lineage: Eukaryota; Viridiplantae; Streptophyta; Magnoliopsida; Zingiberales; Musaceae
Description: long non-coding RNA (MACU_LNC001793)
Source: RNAcentral